GACGAACGCUGGCGGCGUGCUUAACACAUGCAAGUCGAACGCUCCUGGAGGUUGGAAGUUAGAGGUUAGAAGUUAGAUUAAGAAGGAAUUCGCCGAAGGCGAAUUCUCACACAAUCCAACAUCUAAUUUCCAACUUCCAACCUCUAAGGGGAGUGGCGGACGGGUGAGUAACGCGUGGGCAAUCUGCCCGUAAGAGGGGGAUAACAUCGGGAAACCGGUGCUAAUACCGCAUAAUAUCUGUUUACCGCAUGGUAGACAGAUUAAAGGAGCAAUCCGCUUACGGAUGAGCCCGCGUCUGAUUAGCUAGUUGGUAGGGUAACGGCCUACCAAGGCGACGAUCAGUAGCCGGCCUGAGAGGGUGACCGGCCACACUGGAACUGAGACACGGUCCAGACUCCUACGGGAGGCAGCAGUGGGGAAUCUUCCGCAAUGGGCGAAAGCCUGACGGAGCAACGCCGCGUGAGCGAAGAAGGCCUUCGGGUUGUAAAGCUCUGUCAUCAGGGAAGAAGAGAGUGACGGUACCUGAGGAGGAAGCCACGGCUAACUACGUGCCAGCAGCCGCGGUAAAACGUAGGUCCCGAGCGUUGUCCGGAUUCACUGGGUGUAAAGGGCGCGUAGGUGGUUGUCUGUGUCUCAUGUGAAAACUCAGGGCUCAACUCUGAGAUUGCGUGGGAAACUAGGCAGCUAGAGGACGGUAGAGGGGAGUGGAAUUCCCGGGUGUAGCGGUAAAAUGCGUAGAUAUCGGGAGGAACACCGGUGGCGAAGGCGGCUCUCUGGGCCGAUCCUGACGCUGAGGCGCGAAAGCUAGGGGAGCGAACCGGAUUAGAUACCCGGGUAGUCCUAGCCGUAAACGAUGGGUGCUAGGUGUUGGGGGGUAAAGACCCUUCAGUGCCGAAGCCAACGCGAUAAGCAUCCCACCUGGGGAGUACGGCCGCAAGGUUGAAACUCAAAGGAAUUGGCGGGGGUCCGCACAAGCGGCGGAGCAUGUGGUUUAAUUCGAUGCUGCCCGAAGAACCUUACCAGGGUUGACAUGCUGGUGGUAGGAACCUGAAAGGGGGACGACCCGACCGUAAGGGAGGGAGCCAGCACAGGUGUUGCAUGGCUGUCGUCAGCUCGUGCCGUGAGGUGUCGGCUUAAGUGCCGUAACGAGCGCAACCCUCAUCCCUAAUUGCUCCUGACAGGUAAAAGGGUCAGAGCACAAUAGGGAGACCGCUGGCGAAGAGCCAGAGGAAGGGGAGGAUGACGUCAAGUCAGCAUGGCCUUUAUGCCCUGGGCUACACACAUGCUACAAUGCAGGGUACAACGGGAAGCGAAGCCGCGAGGUGGAGCAAAUCCCGAAAAGCCCUGCUCAGUUCGGAUCGCACGCUGCAAUUCGCGUGCGUGAAGUCGGAGUCGCUAGUAACCGUGGAUCAGCAAAGCCGCGGUGAAUACGUUCUCGGGCCUUGCACACACCGCCCGUCAAGCCACCCGAGUCGGGUUCACCAGAAGGCCGGUAACCGAAGAGGGCCGGACGACGGUGUGCCUGGUAAGGAGGGCU
RNAcentral lists this ribosomal RNA (1537 nucleotides) under uncultured bacterium. RNAcentral's name for it is "bacterial SSU rRNA". It matches the Rfam family "Bacterial small subunit ribosomal RNA". The record is from RNAcentral.